GAUUGAACGCUGGCGGCAGGCUUAACACAUGCAAGUCGAACGAUGAMUCUCUAGCUUGCUAGAGAWGAUUAGUGGCGGACGGGUGAGUAACAUUUAGGAAUCUGCCUAGUAGUGGGGGAUAGCUCGGGGAAACUCGAAUUAAUACCGCAUACGACCUACGGGUGAAAGGGGGCGCAAGCUCUUGCUAUUAGAUGAGCCUAAAUCAGAUUAGCUAGUUGGUGGGGUAAAGGCCCACCAAGGCGACGAUCUGUAACUGGUCUGAGAGGAUGAUCAGUCACACCGGAACUGAGACACGGUCCGGACUCCUACGGGAGGCAGCAGUGGGGAAUAUUGGACAAUGGGGGCAACCCUGAUCCAGCCAUGCCGCGUGUGUGAAGAAGGCCUUUUGGUUGUAAAGCACUUUAAGCAGGGAGGAGAGGCUAAUGGUUAAUACCCAUUAGAUUAGACGUUACCUGCAGAAUAAGCACCGGCUAACUCUGUGCC
RNAcentral lists this ribosomal RNA (483 nucleotides) under Faucicola osloensis. RNAcentral's name for it is "bacterial SSU rRNA". The record is from RNAcentral. Lineage: Bacteria; Pseudomonadati; Pseudomonadota; Gammaproteobacteria; Moraxellales; Moraxellaceae.